Molecule: long non-coding RNA, 2065 nt
Organism: Nematostella vectensis (starlet sea anemone)
Lineage: Eukaryota; Metazoa; Cnidaria; Anthozoa; Actiniaria; Edwardsiidae
Exons: 2
Source: RefSeq, a predicted model, not a curated record
GGCUGGCAUACCGAGGACCUUGCAUACAGCCGACUGGAUGAGGUCGGUACCCUGGGAGGCGCAGAAGAUAGUGAUUCCGUCCUCACCUGGCACGGUCAAUGCAACCUGCAAGAUAGUGGCAGAUUGAAUGUCGUAGCAGGACUACAAAGAGUGCUGACCGUUCGGCUGACCUGUGUCUCCAUAUGGAAAUGGUGCUGCGCCCCACAAGACACCUCGCCGGUAACCACGUGACUUGAGGAUUUUAUGGCAGCUAGAGAGAACAGAAUACCUUAGCAUACAGGAAGAGAAGUAGAAUAAGAACAGUGCCGUAGCAGGGGUGGGGCACUGGGGGCAUGUCCCCUCCCCCCAAUAUUAUCAAAAUUAUAAGGAAAUGACCAGUAGGGGCGUGGCCGUGCCCCUGAUAUUUUCUUAAUGUUUGUGCCCCCACCCCCCCUACAAAUUUCGAGGCUUACUACAGCUCGGAAGCUAAGGAAGAUCGUGAGGGUUUGAUUGAACUUGAUCCCUACUUGAUAACAUAAUCUACUCACCUUCAGUAUCACCCACGGCGAUAUCCCUGAUGUAACGCAGCUCAAUGAACGACUUGGCCUCAAUAGCGUCCUUGAUGCUAAGAAUGGGAGGCUUGGCAUCUAAGUACUCAAUGUUCACCUUCUCGGCUGCCUCGUCUGCAUGCAGCUGUGUAUCUGAAGACGAAUGAUAAAGAUUUUAAGGGUGUACUGACAUUAGUGUUUGUCAGUAACGACGUUGCUACGCUGGUGGUGUUGAGCGCGCACGUCAGUGGCAAGCUUUCUUGGAGUAAAAAAAAUAUAUAUAUAUAUAUAUGCAUAACAAGUUCCCAAAAAAUUACUUUUAGUUGAUCUCAACCUUACCUUAUUUCCCAUGUUUUUAAAAACAAAAGAGCAUUUAGCGCAGACUUUCAAGCCAACGUUGUGAAUUUUUUAAUUUUUACAACCUUCGAGCGCGCAAACACCGGUUUCAAACGCUCGCGCGCGCUGUAUCCGAAUUGUUAAAAUACUUUUUCAAUUUUGAUCUUGACACGGAUGUAUCAAAUAAUCAGGAUUCGGAUUAGGAAAUCUGUAUUUUUAUUUGAAAAUCGUAAAGAAAAUAAUUCCUUAAUCAUUUCUAAAACGCAUGCUUGGUUUUAUUUGCCCAUCUUUCAAGAUUCAUAAAACGCAUUCUAUAUUUAUUUUUUAGCAAUACACCAAAAACUGGUAAUCGACUCUAUCAAAUUUUCGUCUUUAAUAAGACUUCUACAAGGCUUUUAUGCGAUAUUCAAUUUUCUUUAGCAACAGAUGUCAGCACCCUAGAAAGCAAGCCCAAAAGAACACAACUGCUUGAUUUUCUUGCGCUUGUGCGCUUGUGUUUGACCGAUUCUUACUUGUGUCAUGUGCAUCGCUGCACUUGCGCUUACGUCCAAGUGAGAACCAACCUUUUAAGAGGCGAUGUCAACAGUUUACUUCUGGUCAAUUAAGUAACAAUCUCCAGUGACUUUUUUAUGAAAAACGCGAAAAAUAUUACCAAAUUAUAAAAGCACUGUGUCUAUUGGAAGUUUCUUUGAAGAUGUGAAUGAUAAUUUAGAGAGGAUGGCCUGGUAAAUAGCGCGGAUUCUAAUAGACUCUUUUGUCUAUUGUCGGUUGAGGUUUCCGGAAGUAAACUGGUGGCAAUGCGGCUUUAAUAUAAUUCAAAACAAUAAACGUUGUUUAAGAAGGGGUUCAACAAGAAACAGAAUUCAUUUUAAAAAAACACAGCUCGUGCAUAUAUGUCUAAAAUUUUACCAAAUACCUCGUAUACCAAGCCCUGUAUACACAAUAUACUGAAAGAUCCAGCGUACUUUGCGGGCGCUCCCAAAGGUCACCUGAUACGCUGGAUCUUCGAGCAUGGACACAAACCGCCCCCUUCUUUUUCAUUUGAUAAAUUGGUUUAAUAAAUGAGCAUGUAUUGUUACCUGCUACGAUUAGUCCAAUUACGUGACCAACGUAGAGAACGUCUUUCUCACAAAAAAUCUGAUAAAGAAUAAUGUCAAUAUUUUCUCUGCCAGCAUGGUUGAUAAGUAAAUGAAUUAUUUGGU